AGCCCACUCUUUCCGAUCAAUAAAAAUCCAAAUUGAUGGUAUGAAAAUGUUCGUCUUGGUGAGAGGGUUGGAACGAUAUAUGAUAUGCCCAGAAAUUCAUUGGGACGACGCAGAAAUCUUAGACAGAAGACUCCGACGAAAAGGGGCGAUCCCGUCGACUUCGGCCGGCGUGCGAGGGCGUAUCCGGCAUCGGUUCACGGUUAAAUUUGAAUCGGUUCUUAAUUUCCAAAGAGAAAAAGAUUAUAUGGAAAUACAUGUUGUUGGGAGACAAAAAGCGACAACCCAAAAACCAAAGAAUUUGAUUGUUUGGUUGACAGCAGCCAAUUCUUGAAGUGCUGCUUCAUCAGUGCAGUCUCAAGGCAAAGCCAGAUUGAAAGGGAUCAAGAGACAUUAUGGAGAAGCCUUCCACUAGCAAUGUCAAUGGUAGCUUUCAGUCUGAGUUAAAUGAAGAGGUAAAGGAUUCAAUCAGCAGUUCUGCUACUAACAUCAUCCUUAACCAUGAUUUCUCUGGAGGACUUCAUUUGUGGCAUCCUAAUUGCUGCAAUGGAUUUGUGGUACCCUCGGAGUCUGGUUAUCCUCAGUGGCUGUCAUCUAAAUUAAGAGGACAUUUUGUUGUUAUUACAAACCGGACAGAAUGUUGGCAAGGCCUCCAACAAGACAUCACUAACAGAGUUUCUUGCCAAAUAGUUGUGGUCUUAGGGACAAUCUGAGAGGAAGCAUGCGAAGUUGUGUAAAAAGCACUACAAUUUGCAUGUGUUGUUGCUUUUCUUGAGCUCUGCAAUGUAUUGCUACCGUUUUUGCUAUGUAAUGAUUGGAGAGAUUUGCUAUGCUAUUGCGCUCGAUUGUAUUGUAUAAAAAACACUCUAAAUAUGGCUUCAA
This is a non-coding RNA of Sesamum indicum (sesame), 879 nucleotides long. NCBI's taxonomy places the organism in Eukaryota, Viridiplantae, Streptophyta, Magnoliopsida, Lamiales, Pedaliaceae. The record is from RefSeq and is a predicted model, not a curated record.